Molecule: unclassified non-coding RNA, 144 nt
Filed under: uncultured fungus
Lineage: Eukaryota; Fungi
Description: sequence contains ITS1
Source: RNAcentral
CCGAGUGAGGGUCUCCGGGCCCGACCUCCAACCCCAUGUUACCUGUACCUAGUUGCCUCGGGGGCGACCCGGCCUUCGGGCGUCGGGGCCCCCGGUGGACCCCGAACACUGCAUCUGUGCGUCCGAGUACCACAUAAUCAAUCA